UUAGUGGCGAACGGGCGAGUAACACAUAUUUAACUUACCUGCACGAGGAGAAUAGCAACUCGAAAGAGUUAUUAAUACUCCAUAGGUUUGAGACUCAAAUUAAAGGGAGCGUUCUGGGAAACUAGAGCUUCGCGAGCAGAGAGGAGUAUGUCCUAUUAGGUUGUUGGUGGGGUAAUUGCCUACCAAGCCGAUGAUGGGUAGCUGGACUGAGAGGUCGACCAGCCGCAAUGGGAUUGAAAUACGGCCCAUAUUCCUACGGGAAGCAGCAGUGAGGAAUUUUUCACAAUGGACGAAAGUCUGAUGGAGCAAUACCAUGUGAACGAUGAAGGUCUUCUGAUUGUAAAGUUCUUUUAUUUAGGAAAAAAAGCUUGAUAGGAAAUGAUUAAGCCUUGAUUGUACUAAAU
RNAcentral lists this ribosomal RNA (404 nucleotides) under Candidatus Mycoplasma haematominutum. RNAcentral's name for it is "bacterial SSU rRNA". It matches the Rfam family "Bacterial small subunit ribosomal RNA", at positions 92 to 483 of the family's 1533-position model. Lineage: Bacteria; Bacillati; Mycoplasmatota; Mollicutes; Mycoplasmatales; Mycoplasmataceae. The record is from RNAcentral.